RNAcentral lists this ribosomal RNA (399 nucleotides) under uncultured bacterium. Its description in RNAcentral is "bacterial SSU rRNA". It matches the Rfam family "Bacterial small subunit ribosomal RNA", at positions 355 to 771 of the family's 1533-position model. The record is from RNAcentral.
UGGGGAAUAUUGGACAAUGGGCGAAAGCCUGAUCCAGCCAUGCCGCGUGAGUGAUGAAGGCCCUAGGGUUGUAAAGCUCUUUCGCAGGUGAAGAUAAUGACGGUAACCUGAGAAGAAGCCCCGGCUAACUUCGUGCCAGCAGCCGCGGUAAUACGAAGGGGGCUAGCGUUGUUCGGAAUUACUGGGCGUAAAGCGCACGUAGGCGGACUAUUAAGUCAGGGGUGAAAUCCCGGGGCUCAACCCCGGAACUGCCUUUGAUACUGGUAGUCUCGAGUCCGAGAGAGGUGAGUGGAAUUCCGAGUGUAGAGGUGAAAUUCGUAGAUAUUCGGAGGAACACCAGUGGCGAAGGCGGCUCACUGGCUCGGUACUGACGCUGAGGUGCGAAAGCGUGGGGAGCAA